AGACCCGAAACCCGGUGAUCUAGCCAUGGGCAGGUUGAAGGUUGGGUAACACUAACUGGAGGACCGAACCGACUAAUGUUGAAAAAUUAGCGGAUGACCUGUGGCUGGGGGUGAAAGGCCAAUCAAACCGGGAGAUAGCUGGUUCUCCCCGAAAGCUAUUUAGGUAGCGCCUCGUGAAUUCAUCUCCGGGGGUAGAGCACUGUUUCGGCUAGGGGGCCAUCCCGGCUUACCAACCCGAUGCAAACUGCGAAUACCGGAGAAUGUUAUCACGGGAGACACACGGCGGGUGCUAACGUCCGUCGUGAAGAGGGAAACAACCCAGACCGCCAGCUAAGGUCCCAAAGUCAUGGUUAAGUGGGAAACGAUGUGGGAAGGCCCAGACAGCCAGGAUGUUGGCUUAGAAGCAGCCAUCAUUUAAAGAAAGCGUAAUAGCUCACUGGUCGAGUCGGCCUGCGCGGAAGAUGUAACGGGGCUAAACCAUGCACCGAAGCUGCGGCAGCGACACUCAGGUGUUGUUGGGUAGGGGAGCGUUCUGUAAGCCUGUGAAGGUGGCCUGUGAGGGU
This 563-nucleotide ribosomal RNA is filed under the name Salmonella enterica subsp. enterica serovar Virchow. Its description in RNAcentral is "partial 23S ribosomal RNA". It matches the Rfam family "Bacterial large subunit ribosomal RNA", at positions 711 to 1270 of the family's 2925-position model. Lineage: Bacteria; Pseudomonadati; Pseudomonadota; Gammaproteobacteria; Enterobacterales; Enterobacteriaceae. RNAcentral also lists the same sequence under 1 other name. The record is from RNAcentral.